RNAcentral lists this ribosomal RNA (384 nucleotides) under Bradyrhizobium sp. 09LoS40_5. RNAcentral describes it as "bacterial LSU rRNA". It matches the Rfam family "Bacterial large subunit ribosomal RNA", at positions 1 to 270 of the family's 2925-position model. RNAcentral also lists the same sequence under 22 other names. Lineage: Bacteria; Pseudomonadati; Pseudomonadota; Alphaproteobacteria; Hyphomicrobiales; Nitrobacteraceae. The record is from RNAcentral.
AAUCAAGUGCCUUAAGGGUGUUCGGUGGAUGCCUUGGCGCUGAGAGGCGAUGAAGGACGUGCUACGCUGCGAUAAGCCGUGGGGAGCUGCGAAGAAGCUUUGAUCCAUGGAUUUCCGAAUGGGGAAACCCACCUUCGAUAGCCGGAACUCCAAGACCUCAGUCGAAAGACUGUGGUGUGGGGUUCGAACAGAAAUGUGAGAUGCCUAGGCCUUUAGAUUUCGAUCGAAGAGGUUUUGGAUUUCCGGUUAUCAAAAGAAGGUAUGAGACUUCUGAAUACAUAGGAGGUUUCAAGCAAACCCAGGGAACUGAAACAUCUAAGUACCUGGAGGAAAGGACAUCAACAGAGACUCCGUUAGUAGUGGCGAGCGAACGCGGACUAGGCC